RNAcentral lists this ribosomal RNA (375 nucleotides) under uncultured eukaryote. RNAcentral describes it as "partial 18S ribosomal RNA". It matches the Rfam family "Eukaryotic small subunit ribosomal RNA", at positions 592 to 976 of the family's 1831-position model. The record is from RNAcentral.
CAAUAGCGUAUAUUUAAGUUGUUGCAGUUAAAAAGCUCGUAGUUGGAUUUCGGUUAAGAGCGACCGGUCCGCCGUUUGGUGUGCACUGGUUGGUUUUAACUUCCUGUAGAGGACGUGCUCUGGGUUUAACGACCUGGACUCGGAGUCUACGUGGUUACUUUGAAAAAAUUAGAGUGUUCAAAGCGGGCUUACGCUUGAAUAUUUCAGCAUGGAAUAACACUAUAGAACUCCUGUCCUAUUUCGUUGGUCUCGGGACGGGAGUAAUGAUUAAGAGGAACAGUUGGGGGCAUUCGUAUUUCAUUGUCAGAGGUGAAAUUCUUGGAUUUAUGAAAGACGAACUUCUGCGAAAGCAUUUGCCAAGGAUGUUUUCAUUAA